RNAcentral lists this unclassified non-coding RNA (329 nucleotides) under soil metagenome. Its description in RNAcentral is "partial contains 5.8S ribosomal RNA, internal transcribed spacer 2, and large subunit ribosomal RNA". The stretch from base 1 to 120 matches the Rfam family "5.8S ribosomal RNA", at positions 35 to 154 of the family's 154-position model. The record is from RNAcentral.
GAUGAAGAACGUAGCGAAAUGCGAUAAGUAGUGUGAAUUGCAGAAUUCAGUGAAUCAUCGAAUCUUUGAACGCACAUUGCGCCCCGUGGUAUCCCGAGGGGCAUGCCUGUUCGAGCGUCAUUUCACCACUCAAGCCUGGCUUGGUGUUGGGCGACGUCCCCUUUGGGGACGCGCCUCGAAACGCUCGGCGGCGUGGCACCGGCUUUAAGCGUAGCAGAAUCUUUCGCUUUGGAAGUCGGGGCCCCGUCUGCCGGAAGACCUACUCGCAAGGUUGACCUCGGAUCAGGCAGGGAUACCCGCUGAACUUAAGCAUAUCAAUAAGCGGAGGA